Molecule: ribosomal RNA, 1017 nt
Filed under: uncultured bacterium
Lineage: Bacteria
Description: bacterial SSU rRNA
Rfam family: Bacterial small subunit ribosomal RNA
Source: RNAcentral
UGAGGAAUAUUGGUCAAUGGACGAGAGUCUGAACCAGCCAAGUAGCGUGAAGGAUGACUGCCCUAUGGGUUGUAAACUUCUUUUAUACGGGAAUAAAGUGGAGUAUGCAUACUCCUUUGUAUGUACCGUAUGAAUAAGGAUCGGCUAACUCCGUGCCAGCAGCCGCGGUAAUACGGAGGAUCCGAGCGUUAUCCGGAUUUAUUGGGUUUAAAGGGAGCGUAGGCGGGUGCUUAAGUCAGUUGUGAAAGUUUGCGGCUCAACCGUAAAAUUGCAGUUGAUACUGGGCGCCUUGAGUGCAGCAUAGGUAGGCGGAAUUCGUGGUGUAGCGGUGAAAUGCUUAGAUAUCACGAAGAACUCCGAUUGCGAAGGCAGCUUACUGGACUGUAACUGACGCUGAUGCUCGAAAGUGUGGGUAUCAAACAGGAUUAGAUACCCUGGUAGUCCACACAGUAAACGAUGAAUACUCGCUGUUGGCGAUAUACUGUCAGCGGCCAAGCGAAAGCAUUAAGUAUUCCACCUGGGGAGUACGCCGGCAACGGUGAAACUCAAAGGAAUUGACGGGGGCCCGCACAAGCGGAGGAACAUGUGGUUUAAUUCGAUGAUACGCGAGGAACCUUACCCGGGCUUAAAUUGCAGCGGAAUGUAGUGGAAACAUUACAGCCUUCGGGCCGCUGUGAAGGUGCUGCAUGGUUGUCGUCAGCUCGUGCCGUGAGGUGUCGGCUUAAGUGCCAUAACGAGCGCAACCCUUAUCUAUAGUUACUAUCAGGUCAUGCUGAGGACUCUAUGGAGACUGCCGUCGUAAGAUGUGAGGAAGGUGGGGAUGACGUCAAAUCAGCACGGCCCUUACGUCCGGGGCUACACACGUGUUACAAUGGGGGGUACAGAAGGCAGCUACCUGGCGACAGGAUGCUAAUCCCUAAAACCUCUCUCAGUUCGGAUUGGAGUCUGCAACCCGACUCCAUGAAGCUGGAUUCGCUAGUAAUCGCGCAUCAGCCACGGCGCGGUGAAUACGUUCCC